RNAcentral lists this ribosomal RNA (301 nucleotides) under uncultured bacterium. Its description in RNAcentral is "partial 16S ribosomal RNA". It matches the Rfam family "Bacterial small subunit ribosomal RNA", at positions 509 to 807 of the family's 1533-position model. The record is from RNAcentral.
CAGUCGCCGCGGUAAUACAAAGGGUGCGAGCGUUAAUCGGAUUUACUGGGCGUAAAGCGUGCGUAGGCGGCUUUUUAAGUCGGAUGUGAAAUCCCUGAGCUUAACUUAGGAAUUGCAUUCGAUACUGGGAAGCUAGAGUAUGGGAGAGGAUGGUAGAAUUCCAGGUGUAGCGGUGAAAUGCGUAGAGAUCUGGAGGAAUACCGAUGGCGAAGGCAGCCAUCUGGCCUAAUACUGACGCUGAGGUACGAAAGCAUGGGGAGCAAACAGGAUUAGAUACCCCUGUAGUCCCUGUCUCUUAUAC